Molecule: ribosomal RNA, 720 nt
Filed under: uncultured Massilia sp.
Lineage: Bacteria; Pseudomonadati; Pseudomonadota; Betaproteobacteria; Burkholderiales; Oxalobacteraceae
Description: bacterial SSU rRNA
Rfam family: Bacterial small subunit ribosomal RNA
Source: RNAcentral
GGAUUAGAUACCUGGUAGUCACGCCCUAAACGAUGUCUACUAGUUGUCGGGUUUUAAUUAACUUGGUAACGCAGCUAACGCGUGAAGUAGACCGCCUGGGGAGUACGGUCGCAAGAUUAAAACUCAAAGGAAUUGACGGGGACCCGCACAAGCGGUGGAUGAUGUGGAUUAAUUCGAUGCAACGCGAAAAACCUUACCUACCCUUGACAUGGACGGAAUCCUGAAGAGAUUUGGGAGUGCUCGAAAGAGAGCCGUUACACAGGUGCUGCAUGGCUGUCGUCAGCUCGUGUCGUGAGAUGUUGGGUUAAGUCCCGCAACGAGCGCAACCCUUGUCAUUAGUUGCUACGAAAGAGCACUCUAAUGAGACUGCCGGUGACAAACCGGAGGAAGGUGGGGAUGACGUCAAGUCCUCAUGGCCCUUAUGGGUAGGGCUUCACACGUCAUACAAUGGUACAUACAGAGGGCCGCCAACCCGCGAGGGGGAGCUAAUCCCAGAAAGUGUAUCGUAGUCCGGAUUGUAGUCUGCAACUCGACUACAUGAAGUUGGAAUCGCUAGUAAUCGCGGAUCAGCAUGUCGCGGUGAAUACGUUCCCGGGUCUUGUACACACCGCCCGUCACACCAUGGGAGCGGGUUUUACCAGAAGUAGGUAGCUUAACCGCAAGGGGGGCGCUUACCACGGUAGGAUUCGUGACUGGGGUGAAGUCGUUAACAAGGUAACC